UGGGGAAUAAUUCUUAUCUCGGUUGGUCUCCUCCCUUUACUUUUGCUCUGUGGACCCAAAAUAAGCUGCCUGGCUUGCUCAGUGGAUCAGCAUCUCGUAGAUUCAUGCUCUUUAACUUUCUCACCUACUGACGAAAGAUCAUCCAAGAAGAGAGGCUCGUAACUCCCAUUUUUCCAAAAUUAUUGCCAACAAACUUCAACUUAUCCCUUCUCGAUCGAUAGUUUUCCAAAACCAUUUUGAGCUUAUGCAGUUUAUGGCUCGCUCCCGCUCCUGGCA
RNAcentral lists this long non-coding RNA (276 nucleotides) under Elaeis guineensis (African oil palm). Its description in RNAcentral is "long non-coding RNA (EGUI_LNC077083)". The record is from RNAcentral. Lineage: Eukaryota; Viridiplantae; Streptophyta; Magnoliopsida; Arecales; Arecaceae.